RNAcentral lists this long non-coding RNA (1468 nucleotides) under Helianthus annuus (common sunflower). The record is from RNAcentral. Lineage: Eukaryota; Viridiplantae; Streptophyta; Magnoliopsida; Asterales; Asteraceae.
AUGAUCACACUUUCAUUACUUUGUGUGACAGUGUUUAGUUACCCGCAAAAUUCACCCAAAAAUUUCAAUUCCCUGCUAAUCUCUCCAUCUUUCACUCAGCCUACUCAUACCCAUUACUCACUGAGACACGCGUCACUAAUCCUCCCUCAUAUGAAAACCCUAACCCAUCUUCCUCACACAAGCCUGGAUAGGGAGAGACAGAUCUGGAGAAAGAGAAUCGGGAGAGAGAGUGAUCCGCCCACACUCCGUCCGCCGGUAUCGAUGACGACUACGAUGGUAGGGGUAAACAACAAUGAAGACCAUCGUCCAUUGAGACGAUAGUGGUUCCGGCGAAUGGUACGGUGGUUGUUCGUGGUGCAUCGGACCCGAUCUCCGGCGACAUUAGAUAAUCUCUGACAGAAGUACUUGGUAAUGAGGAGACUUGUAUUCUUAGAGUUAAUCUACACUGUGAUGGUUGCAAACACAAAGUGAAGAAACUUCUUCAAAGAAUUGAUGCUGAAGUUAUGAAGUCCUUGAACAUUCCCAAGGGAGUAAGACGUAAGAGCAUUAAACACUCAUAGGUAUUGAUUACUUGUCAGUUGCUGCUGCAUAUGGUUUCUGACACACGUAAAAGAACAUGCAUGCAGAAUCCAUAUAUAAAAACUAAAUAAAUAACGGGUGUACGUAGCUUAUUCGCAAGCUGGUCUGCAGCCAAUUCGCAGCCGGUCUGCAGCUUAUUCGCAGCCUGUUCGGAGCCGGUACGCAGGCUUGUUCGCAGCCGGUAUGCAGGCCUGUUCGCAGCCGGUUACGCAGGCCGGUGCGUAGCUUAUUCGCAGACUGCUCGCAGCCUGUUCGUAGCCGGUACGCAGGCAUGUCUGCAGCCGCUCAGCAGGCCUGUUUGCGGCUGGUCUGAGUUGUCAAACAUGCGAUGUUUAUACAUGGACAUGGAGCUCGCGACAACAAUAAGGGUUUCAAGGUUGAUAAACGGGCGACGACACUUCUACCAACUACGACAGUCUCAACUGAAGCUCGCGACAACAAUAAGGACGUCGAACCCACAACGGUCUGUUGAAGGAAGCUCCGACAGCUACGGUUCAGAACUAAACACAAGUUCAACCGUUAAGCUUGCUGCAAUCUCUGAGCUAACAAGUUUACAGAAGCAUUUGGAAAGUUCUAUGGAAGCUCAAAACAGGGAACCAGCAAUGAUAAACGUCGUGCUGGUGUUCAUGAAAACUAUAUCAAUUGCAUUGUGCCACUGAAGAAAUCGGAGGGUACCAAAUUGACCAGCUCGGAGGGUAGUACCAAAUUGACCAGCUUUAGCAUGUGUUAUUCAGCUUAACUCUAUGGUCUGCUAUGUAUCUUGAGAUUAUUUGGAACUAUGUUAAUUCUAUUGUGUUUGCGGAUUGUUUGAUUUGUACAUGUAUUACCCAAUAAAACUUAAUUCGCUAUAUUUGUCCCUUACAAAUAUUAAUUCAUUACAUUUUGCCGU